Long non-coding RNA from Acinonyx jubatus (cheetah), 2339 nucleotides. RefSeq lists it as uncharacterized. The transcript is spliced from 3 exons. NCBI's taxonomy places the organism in Eukaryota, Metazoa, Chordata, Mammalia, Carnivora, Felidae. The record is from RefSeq and is a predicted model, not a curated record.
AGGAAAGCCGUCGGGGUGGCCCCCAGCUGCUCACCACGUACCCUAAGCCUCUGUGCAAGACCCGGCCUUCGAAACUCCCUGAAGAGUGUUCCACACCUCAGAUGGCAGCCCUGAGCAAAGACCGUGGGAGGGGCCCUGCCAGAGAUCCUGUGCGUUCAGGCACCGGCCCAGCACACCUCCCUUACUAGGGUUUCGGGCUGACGGGGACAAUCCCAUAGCUGUAACAGGCUGCGGAGGGCAGCCCUGGGCUGCAGGGAACACACGGAACCAAGGGCCCCCGGGAGACACCACUGUCCCUGUUGCUCGGCUGGCUCAGGCACCUGCAAGGCACCGGGUUCAGCUCGUUGGUGAGUCCUGUUUUCUCCACCGGGAUGUGGGCCAAGACAACUAACUCCCUUCCUAGGAGAGGUUCCCUGGCUCCACAGGAGCGCUGACCGCAGGUUCCAGCCGGCCGGCUCUGUCACAACCAACCUCACUUCUUCAACAAACAGCCACCCGCAGCCACCGGCUCCAGGCCCGGGCCACAGACGGGCAUUCAGAGGUGCGGCUCCCGUGGGUGGGGGGUCGGGGGGCAGGCCGGCUGCAUCUGCCACGGAGGCCCAGCUCGGGUGCAGGAGGAGCCCUCCCUGGGCCCCAGGCCAUCACCUGGCAACAGGUACAGUAACUCUCGUCACCUGCCUCCGCACACCCAAGCGGGAUCAGGCUGCUCACGGCAGGGCGCAGAAGCACAGGCCGGCACCAAUGCUGAACCACCAGACGUUUGGCCGCGCAGGAGGGCCCCCACCCUGUCCCUUUGGUCUGUCUGCUCUGUCACCCAGGCUGCGGCACGGGCCCGGGGUGGGCUCAGGAGACAGGCAGCGCGGGGCGGCCGGGGGCGCAGAACCGGAGUCCAACAGGAUGCCCAGCUUCAGAUUACCAGCGAGUCCGUCCAGACUGUCGCCACCCAAACCGGAUUCUGACACACGGCAUCGACUCCAGCUGCCCUGAGCCACACACCUAGUUCCACUUGCACACACACAGCAGUCGGGACGGAUCCACUGACCACGCACACAGCGUGUAAGUUAAGUAAGUAAGUAAAUAAAUAAGUAAGUAAUUCAAUCAAUCAAUCAGGCCUCAGCCUGGGCCAGCUGUUCACCCCAAACAGGAGUAACAACAAGGUGCCCAAACCUUGGAAGCAUCGGUGUCCCAGGCUGGAUGGGUGGUGGUACCUUAGGACUUCACAGUUAAGGGACUUGGGGCAAGUCUCCUUUCCUGUGCCUCAGUUUCUUCAUCUGUACUAUGAAAACAUAAGAGGCCCUGUCCCGGGCUCACUGUGGAAAUGAACUGAGCUAUGGAGCCUAAACAGCUGAGGACCAGAGCCUGGCCCCCAGAGCACCACGUGAGCACGGCAGGGCCCAGGGCGUGCUUGGUCCAGUACGAGUCUUCUCUCCCCAACCGGAAGGUAACUGAAAGGUAAGCCGGCCUCCUUGCCUCUAGCUUCCCCUCGUCUUGAACACACGCCCAGCCAUGACUGCAUUUCUCACCAUGCACUCUUUGCUGCCCUGUGUCACCAGUCCACUCUCUCAUCGCAGCCUGCUGGGCGCCCACACCACUCCAGACUCUGGGCUAGGCACCCAAGAUGCAAGGGUGACCAAGACGGAGGUCCCUAUGCCCCAGGGGCUCUCAGCCACGUGUGCGAGAUAAACACACACACACACACACACACACACACGGAUCACUUCAGUGCAGCAGAGAAGGCAAGCUAAGCACCAGGGCCCAGGGCCACGAGCCUGUGGGUGAACCUCAUCCAGGGGAGGCAGGGGACAGGAAGGUUCCAAAGGGGAUAUCAGGAACACUAGGGCAUUCCAAGCAGAGGACCUAACUGUCAUGUCGGUGAAAAAACGACGUGGGAUGCAGGAAACAAAGCAUCCGAACUGGCUGGGUACCUGAAGCAGGCCGUGGAAGAUGUGACUGGAGGGACAGGCAGCAGCCACACCCCGACCUUCACCCUGCAGGCUGCAGGGAGCUGGAGAAGGGGCUUAAGGACGCCUGCCUGCCUGUGACCCAGCAGACAGCAGCUCCUGUGGCCAGGCACCCAUCUCACCCGCACAGGGAAGUCAUCUGGACACAGGGCAGCCAGGCCAACGGAGAACAGAUGUGGAGGUGGCCCGACCAAAGCGCCACUCUUCCAGGAAGCCUUCUCGGAUCUGCCCAUCUCCCACAGCCGCCUGCAAUGGCGACUUGGCUCCUGAUCCCGUGCUGUCCUGGGCAGGCAUUUGCUGCACCAGAUUUCUACCGAGGACCCAGCACAGGAGAAGCUGAACCUCACCAGAGUACCCUCUUAAACAGGCUGGACACUG